Long non-coding RNA from Myotis lucifugus (little brown bat), 400 nucleotides. RefSeq lists it as uncharacterized. The record is from RefSeq and is a predicted model, not a curated record. The transcript is spliced from 3 exons. NCBI's taxonomy places the organism in Eukaryota, Metazoa, Chordata, Mammalia, Chiroptera, Vespertilionidae.
GAGAAGGGCUGAACAUAGGAACAAUGGUGUCCACCAGAUGGCUAUGUGGGGGGAGAGCUCAACCAAGGAACAGUGGUGUGCACUCUGGGGUUUCUGUCCAAGAAAGAGCCACCCUUCCAGCCCUCACCUGAAGCCAGAUGAUUCAGGUGCCCUAUGUCCCUGGCAUUUUUCAAGCUGCUGUCCCUUUGCUGGAACUUGGGGCAAAUGUUUGUGGGAAAGACUUGCCAAGUGUCAUGGCACACAGUGUGGCUUCUGCAGCCCAGGGAUGGCGAUGUCCAUCUACACGCUGCUGAGGAACCACCCAGAGCCGACCCCUGAGCAAAUAAUGGAAGCUCUUGGAGGUAAUUUGUGUCGCUGUACUGGAUACCGACCAAUUAUAGAAAGUGGAAAUACUUUCUGC